RNAcentral lists this ribosomal RNA (1301 nucleotides) under Grinnellia americana. RNAcentral describes it as "LSU rRNA". It matches the Rfam family "Eukaryotic large subunit ribosomal RNA", at positions 472 to 1840 of the family's 3401-position model. Lineage: Eukaryota; Rhodophyta; Florideophyceae; Ceramiales; Delesseriaceae. The record is from RNAcentral.
CCGCGUACUCCGCUCGACCCGUCUGCCGUCAUGGGUUUGCGAUGGCAGAAAAAUUUAUUUUUGGCUGUUGUAGGCUGAGGGGUCCCUUUUAUUAGGUGACGAUGACGGCUGUUUGGCGCGAAUCGACCCGUCUUGAAACACGGACCAAGGAGUCUAGCGUAUGUGCGAGUCGAAGGGUGUGGAAACCUGGAGGCGCAGUGAAAGCAAAUUUAUCCAAUAAAAUGGUGCAAUUUGAGGCGGCAUACGAUCGUUGAUUGUAAGUCCGACCUAGAGCAUAUAUGCUAGGACCCGAAAGAUGGUGAACUAUGCUUGAGUAGGGCGAAGCCAGAGGAAACUCUGGUGGAGGCUCGUAGCGGUGCUGACGUGCAAAUCGCUCGUCAAACUUGAGUAUAGGGGCGAAAGACUAAUCGAACCAUCUAGUAGCUGGUUUCCUCCGAAGUUUCUCUCAGGAUAGCAGGCCCAAAUUGUAUUUGUUGUGUGUGGUAAAGCGAAUGAUUAGCGUACUCGGGGGCGCUAAGCCUCUGGACGAUUCUCAAACUUUAAAUGCGCACGGAUGUUGCCGCUUGGGUGGGCGGCAUCUCGAAAAAAUUGGGCUUUGUGGGCCAUUUUUGGUAAGCAGAACUGGCGAUACGGGAUGAACCGUAAGCGUGGUUAAGGCGUCAAAUUGUCCGCUUACAGAUUCCACAAAAGGUGUUGAUUCAUCGAGACAGCAGGACGGUGGCCAUGGAAGUCGGAAUCCGCUAAGGAGUGUGUAACAACUCACCUGCCGAAUGAAUUAGCCCUGAAAAUGGAUGACGCUAAAGCGGGCAGCCGACACCACGCCGUUUGGGCAAAAAAAACCAUUCUUUUCCAAAUGAGUAGGAGGAACGUGCGGUCGUGUUAAGCGUGCGUGCAAACGUGCGUGGAACGGCCGCUAGUGCAGAUCUUGGUGUUAGUAGCAAAUAUUCAAACGAGAACCUUGAAGGGCGAAGCGGGGAAGGGUUCCACGCGAACAUUGAUUGAGCGUGGGUGAGUCGUUCCUAAGCCGCGUGGCAAUAGCUAAAUACCGGCGAAAGGGAAGCAGGUUGAUAUUCCUGCACACGGAUGUGGACGCGGUGACGCGAAAUUGUUUUGGGACGGUGAAGCUGGCGAUGGCCCUGGGCAGAGUUUUCUUUUCUGUUUAACUGGCUAAACUGCGCUGUGUGGAAUCCGCUUGUCGGGAGAAACACGCGCGUUUGGGAAUAGCGCAGGGUUUUUUUCCUGCGUCCAGGACGCCAUCGUCGGACCUUGAAAAACUGUUCCAUUGUUUUUUUACAAACAAU